RNAcentral lists this ribosomal RNA (482 nucleotides) under uncultured bacterium. Its description in RNAcentral is "partial 16S ribosomal RNA". It matches the Rfam family "Bacterial small subunit ribosomal RNA", at positions 30 to 507 of the family's 1533-position model. The record is from RNAcentral.
AUUGAACGCUGGCGGCAUGCUUUACACAUGCAAGUCGAACGGUAACAGGCCGCAAGGUGCUGACGAGUGGCGAACGGGUGAGUAAUGCAUCGGAACGUGCCCAGUCGUGGGGGAUAACUACUCGAAAGAGUAGCUAAUACCGCAUACAAUCUAUGGAUGAAAGCGGGGGACCGUAAGGCCUCGCGCGAUUGGAGCGACCGAUGUCAGAUUAGGUAGUUGGUGGGGUAAAGGCUCACCAAACCAACGAUCUGUAGCUGGUCUGAGAGGACGACCAGCCACACUGGGACUGAGACACGGCCCAGACUCCUACGGGAGGCAGCAGUGGGGAAUUUUGGACAAUGGGCGCAAGCCUGAUCCAGCAAUGCCGCGUGCAGGAAGAAGGCCUUCGGGUUGUAAACUGCUUUUGUACGGAACGAAACGGCUCUGGUUAAUACCCGGGGCUAAUGACGGUACCGUAAGAAUAAGCACCGGCUAACUACGUG